CCUACGGGAGACAGCAGUGAGGAAUAUUGGUCAAUGGUCGGGAGACUGAACCAGCCAAGCCGCGUGAGGGAUGAAGGUACAGAGUAUCGUAAACCUCUUUUGUCAGGGAACAAAGGCGGGGACGUGUCCCCGGAUGAGUGUACCUGAUGAAAAAGCAUCGGCUAACUCCGUGCCAGCAGCCGCGGUAAUACGGAGGAUGCGAGUGUUAUCCGGAUUUAUUGGGUUUAAAGGGUGCGCAGGGGGUCUGUUAAGUCAGCGGUCAAAGCCCGGGGCUCAACCCCGGCCCGCCGUUGAAUCUGGCAGUCCCGAGUUGGAGAGAAGUAUGGGGAAGGCGCGGUGGAGCGGGGAAAUGCAUA
RNAcentral lists this ribosomal RNA (356 nucleotides) under uncultured bacterium. Its description in RNAcentral is "partial 16S ribosomal RNA". It matches the Rfam family "Bacterial small subunit ribosomal RNA", at positions 338 to 692 of the family's 1533-position model. The record is from RNAcentral.